This is an RNA transcript of Oxyura jamaicensis (ruddy duck), 4894 nucleotides long. It is a transcript of the gene named BPI fold containing family B member 6, with no coding region annotated. NCBI's taxonomy places the organism in Eukaryota, Metazoa, Chordata, Aves, Anseriformes, Anatidae. The transcript is spliced from 15 exons. The record is from RefSeq and is a predicted model, not a curated record.
CACACCCGCUGCGCCCCAUGCAGCUCUCCUCCCUGCUGGGUGUUCUUCCCCUUCUACAUUUGUGAUCCAAACUUUGAGGCAUGACCACUCUUCUGGAGAGGGUUGAACUGCCCAGCUUGGUCUGAGUCCUUUGGCAGCAGGGUUAGCUGUUCAGCUCUUGUUGAUACAGCUGUGCCUUAGGAGGCAGCUAUUGUCCUCCAUGCACUGGCUGUGUGAGUUAUUGGGUGCUGGUUGCAGGUGCAUCGCGGCACGCCUGGAAAGGUCCUGGGCUCUCAGCAGCACGCCGUUGCUUUCUCAGUCUGACAGAGAAAUGCCAGGAAUAGGGGCAGUUUCAGCCACGUUGUGUAUUGCCACUGAAGGCAUCCAAAUAGCAGCGUAAGGAGAAAAUAGGAAGAUGUAUGUCUGGAAGGGGAGAGCAGAAUUUACACUUUUACAUUGGUGCAUCCAUUUAGAGAUGAGAAAUGUGUUCAGAAAAGUAAAUCCUGGGAGAAGUUUGUGACUUUCAGUGAGCUGCCAGGGUCUGCAGGGGUGAUUCCAGACAUUGGGAGGAAGGUGGGCAGAAAGACAAGUCUGCAAGAAAGAAGACUUCUGUGUCAUAGAGCAGUGGCUGGAAUUGGCCUCCAGGUAAGCCUUGUUCCAUCACAGGUAAUUCCAGCAGCUCUUUCAAAGCAGUACUUGAGAUUUAUCUGUGGCAUGGUAUCAGCGUUUACAGAAGUACAAGAAUGGAGACGAGCUGUUGGGACAAGAGGGCACCGUGGCACUCCGAUGUGGAUUUUCUCCUCCUGAAGAGCUGCUCUGGACCUCAUGGUCCCCAGGGAGGCUUAAUUAGAUGUCAGCUCACAGCACAGUGACUGAUCAAGUUACCAGCACAAAGGCGUCUUUCUGGCAUGAUGGGUUCUUAAACAGGAGCAAUCUAUAAAUCUUACACUCCUGUUAGAUAAGAUGUAAAUCUCCCUGUCUGUGCUUAGCAGAGCCACCAAGUAUAUCACAGGGGGAGGUGAUGACAGAUUAAGCCCUAUGACACAUUUUAUACAGAAAUGAAGAGAAGGAAUAAAUUUCUCGUUGCCGCAGGAUCCCACCAGGGUGGGUCCGGGUGAGCCGUCCCUGCAGGGCUGGUUCUGGCAGGGAUAGGUGAGUGUACAGGGAUGGCUCUGGCUCUGGCCAGGUAACGCGUGGAUGGCCUGCAGGAGAGCUGAUGCAGUUGGUGCCUGGGCUGGAGGAUGUGCAGCCUCCCCACGGCAUGCCGGGGACAGCUCAGGUUGCUGUUCCUCGCCUCUCUCAGACCUGCUGAGAUCAGCACCGAUGUUACCGGGAUUGCCACAACCUCCCCCGGAUUCUCCCCCAGCUAAUCCCAGGUCCUCCCCUGGUACUUGCACAGGCUCCACGAACCUCUGGGGAGCACGGGCAACUCGUCCUGAGUGACAGCCACAUUGUGCACGUGUCUCCAAGAGCAGAAUUUACCAUUCCACGGCUCAGCUUUCCCCCUGCCCCCACUUCUGUCUGUACCGUGUUAUUAAACAGGUCAGUUUUACUCUUUCAGACGUGCUCUGCAAAGCUCCCGUUGGCUCUUCCUGGGUGUUGAGCAAGAGAGCUGGCCUCAGGCGUGCCGGGAACAUCCACCUGAUACCUGCAGCUCAAGGACUUACCUGGACUUUCACAUUUAUUAGUGAGAUUAUUUGUAUUGGAAGAAGUCAGAAACACUGAGGGAUUAGUUUCACAUCACAGUAAUUAUCCAGCUCUUUAAUCUGUUUGUUUUUUUUUCCUCUUUCUCAGCCAGGGCUGUGUAUAUAUAGGCCAUCUCCUGCCUCUCUCCAGAAGAUUGGUGCGGAGCGUGGACAACCUUCAGGAGCACUCCGCUGGAGGAAGUCCUGGUGAGGCGACCACCGUGCUCUUCCUCGCAGAGGUCUGUGUCCCAGGGACGUGCUGCAGCACCGUCCCCACUGGCUGGAGCGAGCCCUGCUCACUCCCUUCCGCAGGAGUGCAGCAUUUAGCCCUUGCCAUGCAGUUGGGAACCGUCUCCAGCUAAUUGUCUCUUUCUGUCCAUAAGCCAGUGCAUCGUUUAGCCUCCUCUGAAGCUUUGUGGACAGCGGUACCAGGCCUGAAGAUGCCAAGGAUCUGGUGCACUUUGCUCCUUGGUGGCUGGCUGGCAGUGUCACAAAGCACCAGUGGCCCGGGGGCCGUCCUCAGGAUGGAUAUUGGGACAAUCGACCAUGCGGUCUCCACUGCGCUGAAUGAGAGCAAUGUUCUUCAGAAAAUGGUAGAGGAAGCAACAAAAAAAAAGUCGAACAUGAAACCCAUCAAAGGCAUCUCCAGGAUGAGAGUCGUAGACCUCCGUCCCCCGGUGAUAUCGCUGACGCUCUCGCCAGGCGUGGGGCUGUUCAUGGCCGUGCUGGUCCGGAUGACCAUCGCUGGGAAAAGCUUUAUAGGAGGAAACAUGGAAAUCAAGGUGGCAGCAAACCUGACCGCCAGCGCGCGGCUGGCGCAGGACACCCAGGGCUGCCCGAGGUUCAGCACCGAGAGCUGCCACAUCGCCCUGCUCAGCGCCAAAACCAACCUGCCCAGCAACAUGCUGCCCAAAGUCAUGAGCAAGCUUCUGGACAGCACCCUUCAGAAAGUGCUGCCCAGCCUGCUGUGUCCGGCCGUGGACGCGGUGCUCAGCCUCGUGAAUUCAAAACUCACCGCCGUGACUUCCGUGAUCCCUCUCGGCACUGCUGGCACCCUCCGGUACGCGUUGCUGAACCCACCUGUGACGAAUGAAACUUUCAUACAGCUGGAUUUGAAGACCAUCCUCCACAAAAACGAGGGAGAGGAGGUCGACCUUCCAGCAGACCAGCCGUCUCUUCCUUCUCUGCCACCAAAGAGGGAGGCUGCUACCCAGCUCAUCCUGUCUGCAGGCUUCCUGAGUGCUGAGCUCUCUGUUAUGCAGGCGUCCUUCAGCCUGAACAUCAGCAAUAACAUGAUUCUUGGGCUUCCCCCGCUGGUGACCACGACGCUCGGAACCCUCAUCCCAGAGCUUUCCAUGGUGCUGCCUCCAUCACAGCCGCUGGUGAUUGAAAUGAGAGAAGCAAAUCCACCGCUGGUGACAAUAACCCCGGACAAAAGCAUUGUGCACCUCUUCAGCACUGCCGAGUUCCGGGUUUCCAGCCCGGACUCUGAUCUUGGAUCCCUCUUUGUCCUGGAUGUGCACUCCGACCUGAGAGCGCAGUUUGCUGUUGUGGAAGAGAGGCUGCAGCUCUCCCUUGCUCUGGACAGCUUGUCCCAGGUGGCCUUGGCGUCCUCCUCCAUCGGCACGUUUGAUGAGCUGCCGCUGAACGGAGUUCUCGCAGACAUUAUUCAUGUGGCCUACGUGCCAUCCAUCAACAAAUGGGCUCGUGCUGGAUGUGCCUGUCGCGGAGAUCUGACACACGGGGAGGGACGGCUGCACCCGGCUGCUGCUGCGCGACUGAGCCGGAGCGGGUGGCAGAGGGAACGGCGAGGGUGGUGGCUUUCCUGGGGCGCUUCUUCCUCUUCGCUUGACUUCUCAACAUUUUCCCUCCUGAGCUAAAAUUAAAAGACCGGAUCACGCAGUGGCGGGUCUCUGGCCUGCUGUGCAUUUAGUGGAGCCAGCCGCGCACGUCUUCGCUGAGGUCGCAUUUCUGCAAAGGGCUGCCCCCGAAUUGAUCACAUCUGCAACAAAAACGGCACAGGGGCAGCAGGGGGCUGCGGCACAUGCGUCUCCCCUGGGAGGGGGGCAAGAAGGGUUCCCAGGGGUGGCCCUGCUGUGAGAGGAGGGGUUUGUGCCUGCAGCCACCUGCACGGGGUUGUGCAUUUUGGAACUAGGUAGGGAAGCACGUUUAGAUAUCUCCCGGUGUUUUUUAAUAUUUCAGAAGUGCCUCGUAUCGUGGUUUAUUGGCUGCAUUGCAGAUAUUGAUCCCAAGCAUAUAGCUCACUGAUUGCUGGAUAAUUACGUGUCAUUAGUACGUCAAUAAACAGCUUUGAUCCUCAUUUCAUUGAACCAACAUGAAUCGAACAUUUUUUCCUGGUGACAGGUAGCUGGUGUAGAAUUAAGGUUAUCUUUGAAAAGAUCAUUGUGUUUUUAAGAAAUUGUCCUCAAGAAAAUCUCACUGUGAGGCAGGCGACGAAAACCCCAUUUGUUUUCUUGUGUGUGCUGCCAGACACAGCAGGCGUUUGUUCUGUACUGCUUGUAAGGAAUUGUCUUUGUGAGAGGCUCUAAGCAAUGAGGAGAGCAGUCAUAAAGCCAGCUCCCGGUGAGGACUGGUGUUUAUGAUGCUUUCCCUCCUCAUUGCCGUGCAGACACUGCCAAUGCCGAGCAUUUUUUAAAAAAGAUUUUCCUCACUGUUCUUGCUUUAGCUAAUAAAGAAUUGAACAGUUUGGGUUGGAGCUCCUCUAAGAAGAAAUAAGGAUCACAAUAUCUGUGUGCAGCCCUCCUAGGAGAAACAAAAGCUGGAAAUCUCAGGUGGUGCCUAUUUAAUUUUUCAUGAAACACUUAACCACGCUGCCAAGCCGUGCUAUCACAUAGCUGGCUUUUAAUGCCCCGGGACAGCCGCUCGAGGUGCAGCCUUUGGACUCAUGCAGAGGCCAGCACCACGAGCCGGGGCUGCAGGGACCCCGGCCCCGGUCCCCUGAGAGGGCCUUGUCUGGUUGCUGCUGUCAGGAUGGGGAAGCAGAACAAAGUGGACUCCUUCCUGAAGCAGGACCAUCACAUUUUGUGCUGCUGCCGUGGCCAGAAAGGUGAAGGUGUGAGGGGGGUCUGUGCCUCCCCCCCCGGCAGCAAGGGGUGCCCCACGUGCAAGGCCCUGCACCCCCAGCUCCAAUUGUGGCUCCCAGAGCAGAUGCAGUCCCAAUAGCCCAUACACUAAUAAUCAAUCAUUAUUUCGCAUCUGCACAGGAAUGG